This 559-nucleotide ribosomal RNA is filed under the name uncultured bacterium. RNAcentral describes it as "bacterial SSU rRNA". It matches the Rfam family "Bacterial small subunit ribosomal RNA", at positions 338 to 916 of the family's 1533-position model. The record is from RNAcentral.
CCUACGGGAGGCAGCAGUGAGGAAUUUUCCGCAAUGGGCGAAAGCCUGACGGAGCAAUACCGCGUGAGGGAUGAAGGAUUUUGGUCUGUAAACCUCUUUUCUCAAGAAAGAAGUUCUGACGGUACUUGAGGAAUAAGCAUCGGCUAACUCCGUGCCAGCAGCCGCGGUAAUACGGGGGAUGCAAGCGUUAUCCGGAAUGAUUGGGCGUAAAGCGCCUGUAGGUUGUUUAUUAAGUCCGUUGUUAAAGCCUAGGGCUCAACCCUAGAAAAGCAAUGGAAACUAGUAGACUAGAGUAUGGCAGGGGUAGAGGGAAUUUCUAGUGUAGCGGUGAAAUGCGUAGAUAUUAGAAAGAACACCGGUGACGAAAGCGCUCUACUGGACCAUUACUGACACUCAGAGGCGAAAGCUAGGGUAGCAAAAGGGAUUAGAUACCCCUGUAGUCCUAGCCGUAAACGAUGGAUACUAGAUGUUGUGCAUUAUGUACAGUAUCGUAGCUAACGCGUUAAGUAUCCCGCCUGGGGAGUACGCUCGCAAGGGUGAAACUCAAAUGAAUUGACGG